Molecule: ribosomal RNA, 292 nt
Filed under: uncultured bacterium
Lineage: Bacteria
Description: partial 16S ribosomal RNA
Rfam family: Bacterial small subunit ribosomal RNA
Source: RNAcentral
GUGUCAGCAGCCGCGGUAAUACAGAGGUCCCGAGCGUUGUUCGGAUUCACUGGGCGUAAAGGGUGCGUAGGCGGCUUUGUAAGUCUGAUGUGAAAUCUCCGGGCCCAACCCGGAAAUGGCAUUAGAAACUGCAGGGCUGGAGGCUUGGAGGGGGAACUGGAAUUCUCGGUGUAGCAGUGAAAUGCGUAGAGAUCGAGAGGAACACCAGUGGCGAAGGCGAGUUCCUGGACAAGACCUGACGCUGAGGCACGAAAGCCAGGGGAGCAAACAGGAUUAGAUACCCCCGUAGUCC